RNAcentral lists this ribosomal RNA (590 nucleotides) under Rasamsonia argillacea. RNAcentral describes it as "LSU rRNA". It matches the Rfam family "Eukaryotic large subunit ribosomal RNA", at positions 141 to 747 of the family's 3401-position model. Lineage: Eukaryota; Fungi; Ascomycota; Eurotiomycetes; Eurotiales; Trichocomaceae. The record is from RNAcentral.
AGUUGUAAUUUGGAGAGGAUGCUUCGGGCACGGCCCCCGUCUAAGUGCCCUGGAACGGGCCGUCAUAGAGGGUGAGAAUCCCGUCUGGGACGGGUGGCCGGGCCCGUGUGAAGCUCCUUCGACGAGUCGAGUUGUUUGGGAAUGCAGCUCUAAAUGGGUGGUAAAUUUCAUCUAAAGCUAAAUAUGGGCCGGAGACCGAUAGCGCACAAGUAGAGUGAUCGAAAGAUGAAAAGCACUUUGGAAAGAGAGUUAAACAGCACGUGAAAUUGUUGAAAGGGAAGCGCUUGCGACCAGACUCGCCCGGGGGGGCUCAGCCGGCACUCGUGCCGGUGCACUCCCCCCCGGGCGGGCCAGCGUCGGUUUGGGCGGCCGGUCAAAGGCCCCCGGAAUGUGUCGCCCUCCGGGGCGUCUUAUAGCCGGGGGUGCAAUGCGGCCAGCCCAGACCGAGGAACGCGCUUCGGCUCGGACGCUGGCGUAAUGGUCGUAAGCGGCCCGUCUUGAAACACGGACCAAGGAGUCUAACAUCUACGCGAGUGUUCGGGUGUUAAACCCGUCCGCGCAGUGAAAGCGAACGGAGGUGGGAACCCCCC